UUGUUUUUUCCAAAAUAAAAGAAGUUUUAGAUUUCUCUCCGGUCACCAUUAUAUCAGAUUUUGAACAAGGACUACAGAAUGCUUUAAAAACAACUUGGAGUGAAAGCUUGGUGAAUGGUUGCAGGUUUCAUUUCGAAAAUGCAAUCACCAAGCAAUUAGCAAUUCUUGGUCUUCAGAGGGAAUACCGCCACCAAAUUCAAGUAAAGAAGU
Non-coding RNA from Hydra vulgaris (swiftwater hydra), 210 nucleotides. NCBI's taxonomy places the organism in Eukaryota, Metazoa, Cnidaria, Hydrozoa, Anthoathecata, Hydridae. The record is from RefSeq and is a predicted model, not a curated record.